Long non-coding RNA from Camelina sativa (false flax), 687 nucleotides. RefSeq lists it as uncharacterized. The record is from RefSeq and is a predicted model, not a curated record. Lineage: Eukaryota; Viridiplantae; Streptophyta; Magnoliopsida; Brassicales; Brassicaceae.
UUUACAAGCCUGCUAUUUUAAUUAAAACAUACAUGUCCAGCCCAGCCCACAAAAAAGAGAUAUUAACGUAUAUUUUUCAAUUGACGUUCUCUAUCUUCGAGUAACCAGAAUUUCCGGGUUUUUUUUUUGUUUUUCAGCUAUUCCGAUUUCCAUAUAUAUGAAUCAGAUCUCUUUUUCGUUUUCGGCGGAUUUAACUAUCUUCCAUAAUAGCUAGGCUUGAAGAAGACCUCAUGGUCUAAAGGUGGAGCUUUAGCCUCGAGAUAGGAUUAAGUCGAAAUCAUUAUAUAGGUGAUUCAACUAAAAGCAGCGGAUGAAUCUAUGGAGAGAUGGUUCCAAAGACAUGACUACAAGCUUCAUCUAAUAUGAAGAAUUCGACGCCGGCGUUUAGCUUCAGUAUUUGGUACAGAUCUCAUCGGCGAGAAGAAGCAAGAAGAAUCGAGAACAACACGUGUCAACAAAAGCUCAACGGUGACGCUUCGUAACAAGAUACGUUGGUUAAGGGAAGAACACGUGUCUAUGAUUCUUAUGGUUAUUUACAUUUAUUCCUAGUUUUUGCUUACGUGUUUGGAUUAACUUAAAAUUGGGCUUAAUUUAGCUUGUAUCAUGCUUUGUAAGUUUGUAUUAUGCCCAUUUUAAUUGGGCUUUUAAAUGAAAGAAAGGAAUGGCCGACAAAAAAAAAAUUGUAUA